RNAcentral lists this transfer RNA (72 nucleotides) under Marmota marmota marmota (Alpine marmot). It matches the Rfam family "tRNA". Rfam says of the family: Transfer RNA (tRNA) molecules are approximately 80 nucleotides in length. Their secondary structure includes four short double-helical elements and three loops (D, anti-codon, and T loops). Further hydrogen bonds mediate the characteristic L-shaped molecular structure. tRNAs have two regions of fundamental functional importance: the anti-codon, which is responsible for specific mRNA codon recognition, and the 3' end, to which the tRNAs corresponding amino acid is attached (by aminoacyl-tRNA synthetases). tRNAs cope with the degeneracy of the genetic code in two manners: having more than one tRNA (with a specific anti-codon) for a particular amino acid; and 'wobble' base-pairing, i.e. permitting non-standard base-pairing at the 3rd anti-codon position. The record is from Rfam by way of RNAcentral. Lineage: Eukaryota; Metazoa; Chordata; Mammalia; Rodentia; Sciuridae. RNAcentral also lists the same sequence under 1 other name.
GGUGUUGUGGCUCAGUGGUAGAGUGCUUACCUAGCAUGCAUGAGGCACUGGGUUUGAUCCUCAGCACCACAA